GCCCGGUUGGCUCAGUCGGUAGAGCGUGUGACUCUUAUAUCCCUCACACAUUUCUGUCAUUGAGCUCAACAGAAAUGUCCGGAGGGAUAGAGGGUGAUCUCAAGGUCGCGAGUUCGAGCCUCGCAUCGGGCU
This is a non-coding RNA of Kalaharituber pfeilii, 132 nucleotides long. The record is from the annotation of a GenBank genome assembly. Lineage: Eukaryota; Fungi; Ascomycota; Pezizomycetes; Pezizales; Pezizaceae.